GCGGGUGUAGCUCAAUUGGCUAGAGCAUCUGCCUUCCAAGCAGAGGGUUUCGAGUUCGAGUCUCGUCACCCGCUCCA
This 77-nucleotide transfer RNA is filed under the name Candidatus Peribacteria bacterium. Its description in RNAcentral is "tRNA-Gly". It matches the Rfam family "tRNA". Rfam says of the family: Transfer RNA (tRNA) molecules are approximately 80 nucleotides in length. Their secondary structure includes four short double-helical elements and three loops (D, anti-codon, and T loops). Further hydrogen bonds mediate the characteristic L-shaped molecular structure. tRNAs have two regions of fundamental functional importance: the anti-codon, which is responsible for specific mRNA codon recognition, and the 3' end, to which the tRNAs corresponding amino acid is attached (by aminoacyl-tRNA synthetases). tRNAs cope with the degeneracy of the genetic code in two manners: having more than one tRNA (with a specific anti-codon) for a particular amino acid; and 'wobble' base-pairing, i.e. permitting non-standard base-pairing at the 3rd anti-codon position. Lineage: Bacteria; Candidatus Peregrinibacteriota; Candidatus Peribacteria. The record is from RNAcentral.